GCUGGGUGUGGUGGCGCACACCUGUAAUCCCAGCUACUUGGGAGGCUGAGGCAGGAGAAUCGCUUGAACCCAGGAUGCAGAGGUGGCAGUGAGCCGAGAUUGUGCUGCUGCACUCCAGCCUGGACGACACAGUGAGACUCAGUCUCAA
RNAcentral lists this small RNA (148 nucleotides) under Pongo abelii (Sumatran orangutan). RNAcentral's name for it is "Metazoan signal recognition particle RNA (ENSPPYG00000040797.1)". Lineage: Eukaryota; Metazoa; Chordata; Mammalia; Primates; Hominidae. The record is from Rfam by way of RNAcentral.